ACUCCUACGUGAUGCAGCAGUGGGGAAUAUUGCACAAUGGGCUCAAGCCUGAUAUCAUCCAUGCCGCGUCAGUGACUCUCCGAGAAGUCCUUCUGGUUGUAACGCCCUUUUGUUCGGAAAGAAAAGCAUUCGGUUAAUACCCGGGUGUUCUGACGGUACCCAAAGAAUAAGCACCGGCUAACUACGUGCCAGCAGCCGCGGUAAUA
This 206-nucleotide ribosomal RNA is filed under the name uncultured bacterium. Its description in RNAcentral is "partial 16S ribosomal RNA". It matches the Rfam family "Bacterial small subunit ribosomal RNA", at positions 335 to 525 of the family's 1533-position model. The record is from RNAcentral.